UACUGCAGCUUUUCUCACGCUCGGAGGUGCAAUGAAAACUGACCACUUCUCUAAUGACUUCCGUAAGCCUCCACACCUCUUUAAGGACUAAGGGGCCGUUUCCUCUUCUAGGUUUAACUCCUUCCAGUGUGUCUAUUCACUGUCGGAUUAGAACAUCUGGGCUGAGACAUGGAGAGCCAGCUGCCUCCCGGAGAUCAUCACUUGGAUAAGGAGCUUAAACUACACCCUGUCCUUCAUAAGCCUGUGUCUACCUCUAGGACUUCACAUCAAAAGAGGGCUUGCUAUUUGCCACACAAUGAAAAAAAAAAAAAGAAAGUUGAAAUGCACGAUCUCAUUUAACCCUCGUGAUAACCAAUCACAUGAGAUGUGUACUAUCUUUGAUGAAGAAAUUAAGUCUUAGAGCAGUUCCCUAAGCUCCAUGAGAUUAGAGACUGCCUUGUUCUGCUGGUGCUUCAACUUGAUGGGUGUGCAACACAAGCAGAUACUGAAUAAAUUCAUUCUAAACCGCUAAAACA
This 515-nucleotide long non-coding RNA is filed under the name Sus scrofa (pig). Its description in RNAcentral is "lncRNA (ENSSSCG00015063212.1)". Lineage: Eukaryota; Metazoa; Chordata; Mammalia; Artiodactyla; Suidae. The record is from RNAcentral.